Molecule: ribosomal RNA, 358 nt
Filed under: Albizia grandibracteata
Lineage: Eukaryota; Viridiplantae; Streptophyta; Magnoliopsida; Fabales; Fabaceae
Description: eukaryotic LSU rRNA
Source: RNAcentral
AGAAUGGUNUCGAUACUUGGUGUGAAUUGCAGAAUCNUAUGAACCAUCGUCUUUGAUGCAAUUNCCCAAUUGCUAACCAGGGCACGUCUGCUGGUAUNACCAAUGUCCCGGUAGCCCAUCCUCUGGGGGCGCGGAAGAUGAUGCCCCCCGAGAGCCUCGACUCCUGGCCGGCUGAAAAAGGGGCCCUACACGACAGGCGCCACGAUCCACGGUGGUUGAGCAGCAUCCGCUNGGGGCAAACGUGCGCGCACCGUGCCACGGCANGGGCCGGACGGAUGGGGCGAAGACCCCCACAUUGCACGCGACCUAGUCAGGCGGGGCUACCCGCUAAGUUUAAGCAUAUCAAUAAGCGGAGGAA